UACGUAGGGCGCAAGCGUUGUCCGGAAUUAUUGGGCGUAAAGAGCUCGUAGGCGGUUUGCCGCGUCUGCCGUGAAAGCCCGGGGCUCAACCCCGGGUCUGCGGUGGGUACGGGCAGACUGGAGUGCAGUAGGGGAGACCGGAAUUCCUGGUGUAGCGGUGAAAUGCGCAGAUAUCAGGAGGAACACCGAUGGCGAAGGCAGGUCUCUGGGCUGUAACUGACGCUGAGGAGCGAAAGCAUGGGGAGCGAACAGG
This 253-nucleotide ribosomal RNA is filed under the name uncultured bacterium. RNAcentral describes it as "partial 16S ribosomal RNA". It matches the Rfam family "Bacterial small subunit ribosomal RNA", at positions 524 to 776 of the family's 1533-position model. The record is from RNAcentral.